Molecule: long non-coding RNA, 194 nt
Organism: Xenia sp. Carnegie-2017
Lineage: Eukaryota; Metazoa; Cnidaria; Anthozoa; Malacalcyonacea; Xeniidae
Exons: 2
Source: RefSeq, a predicted model, not a curated record
UUAAUUUGUGUAUGGAAUGGUAUAAACAUAUUGAAUGGACAUUGCAUAACGGCAUUUGUACGUGUGAACAUUAACAUUGAGGUGAUUGGACUAUAAUCUACGAAGAUGGAAAACAAGCGAGUGGAAAAACAUGAUCUAUGUCUUGUGGUUUGUGAAUGAUCAGGUCGAACGUACUGAAUGAAUUUUUCAUAUGA